Molecule: ribosomal RNA, 468 nt
Filed under: uncultured bacterium
Lineage: Bacteria
Description: bacterial SSU rRNA
Rfam family: Bacterial small subunit ribosomal RNA
Source: RNAcentral
AGCGAACGCUGGCGGCGUGCUUAACACAGGCAAGUCGAGUGCGCGUUUCUGUAGCAAUACAGGAAUGGCGCACGGCGCACGGGUGCGUAACACGUGGGUAAUCUGCCCUCUGAUGGGGAAUAACCCGCCGAAAGGCGGGCUAAUUCCGCAUAACAUUCCGGGGACCUCGGUCUCUGGAUUCAAAGGCGUAAGUCGUCGGAGGAGGAGCCCGCGCACGAUUAGCUAGUUGGAGGGUAACGGCCUACCAAGGCUAUGAUCGUUAGCUGGUCUGAGAGGAUGGCCAGCCACACUGGAACUGAGACACGGUCCAGACUCCUACGGGAGGCAGCAGUGGGGAAUCUUGCGCAAUGGGCGAAAGCCUGACGCAGCGACGCCGCGUGGGGGAUGAAGGCCUUAGGGUUGUAAAGCUCUUUUGCCCGGGAUGAUAAUGACAGUACCGGGAGAAUAAGCUCCGGCUAACUCCGUGCC